This 135-nucleotide ribosomal RNA is filed under the name Pusillimonas noertemannii. The record is from RNAcentral. Lineage: Bacteria; Pseudomonadati; Pseudomonadota; Betaproteobacteria; Burkholderiales; Alcaligenaceae.
CUUGACGACCAUAGCAAGGUGGUCCCACGCCUUCCCAUCCCGAACAGGACCGUGAAACGCCUUUGCGCCGAUGAUAGUUGGCAUUCGCCUGUGAAAGUAGGUCAUCGUCAGGCUCUUACACCCCAAAGCCCCCGC